CCGGGUGAGUAAUGUAUGGGGAUCUGCCUGAUGGCGGGGGGUAACUACUGGAAACGGUAGCUAAUACCGCAUAAUGUCUACGGACCAAAGCGGGGGACCUCCGGGCCUCGCGCCAUCAGAUGAACCCAUAUGGGAUUAGCUUGUAGGUAAGGUAACGGCUUACCUAGGCGACGAUCCCUAGCUGGUCUGAGAGGAUGAUCAGCCACACUGGGACUGAGACACGGCCCAG
RNAcentral lists this ribosomal RNA (229 nucleotides) under uncultured bacterium. Its description in RNAcentral is "partial 16S ribosomal RNA". It matches the Rfam family "Bacterial small subunit ribosomal RNA", at positions 103 to 334 of the family's 1533-position model. The record is from RNAcentral.